AAAUUGAAGAGUUUGAUCAUGGCUCAGAUUGAACGCUGGCGGCAGGCCUAACACAUGCAAGUCGAACGGUAACAGGAAGCAGCUUGCUGCUUUGCUGACGAGUGGCGGACGGGUGAGUAAUGUCUGGGAAACUGCCUGAUGGAGGGGGAUAACUACUGGAAACGGUGGCUAAUACCGCAUAACGUCGCAAGACCAAAGAGGGGGACCUUCGGGCCUCUCGCCAUCAGAUGUGCCCAGAUGGGAUUAGCUUGUUGGUGAGGUAACGGCUCACCAAGGCGACGAUCCCUAGCUGGUCUGAGAGGAUGACCAGCCACACUGGAACUGAGACACGGUCCAGACUCCUACGGGAGGCAGCAGUGGGGAAUAUUGCACAAUGGGCGCAAGCCUGAUGCAGCCAUGCCGCGUGUAUGAAGAAGGCCUUCGGGUUGUAAAGUACUUUCAGCGGGGAGGAAGGUGUUGUGGUUAAUAACCGCAGCAAUUGACGUUACCCGCAGAAGAAGCACCGGCUAACUCCGUGCCAGCAGCCGCGGUAAUACGGAGGGUGCAAGCGUUAAUCGGAAUUACUGGGCGUAAAGCGCACGCAGGCGGUCUGUCAAGUCGGAUGUGAAAUCCCCGGGCUCAACCUGGGAACUGCAUUCGAAACUGGCAGGCUUGAGUCUUGUAGAGGGGGGUAGAAUUCCAGGUGUAGCGGUGAAAUGCGUAGAGAUCUGGAGGAAUACCGGUGGCGAAGGCGGCCCCCUGGACAAAGACUGACGCUCAGGUGCGAAAGCGUGGGGAGCAAACAGGAUUAGAUACCCUGGUAGUCCACGCCGUAAACGAUGUCUACUUGGAGGUUGUGCCCUUGAGGCGUGGCUUCCGGAGCUAACGCGUUAAGUAGACCGCCUGGGGAGUACGGCCGCAAGGUUAAAACUCAAAUGAAUUGACGGGGGCCCGCACAAGCGGUGGAGCAUGUGGUUUAAUUCGAUGCAACGCGAAGAACCUUACCUGGUCUUGACAUCCACAGAACUUUCCAGAGAUGGAUUGGUGCCUUCGGGAACUGUGAGACAGGUGCUGCAUGGCUGUCGUCAGCUCGUGUUGUGAAAUGUUGGGUUAAGUCCCGCAACGAGCGCAACCCUUAUCCUUUGUUGCCAGCGGUCCGGCCGGGAACUCAAAGGAGACUGCCAGUGAUAAACUGGAGGAAGGUGGGGAUGACGUCAAGUCAUCAUGGCCCUUACGACCAGGGCUACACACGUGCUACAAUGGCGCAUACAAAGAGAAGCGACCUCGCGAGAGCAAGCGGACCUCAUAAAGUGCGUCGUAGUCCGGAUUGGAGUCUGCAACUCGACUCCAUGAAGUCGGAAUCGCUAGUAAUCGUGGAUCAGAAUGCCACGGUGAAUACGUUCCCGGGCCUUGUACACACCGCCCGUCACACCAUGGGAGUGGGUUGCAAAAGAAGUAGGUAGCUUAACCUUCGGGAGGGCGCUUACCACUUUGUGAUUCAUGACUGGGGUGAAGUCGUAACAAGGUAACCGUAGGGGAACCUGCGGUUGGAUCACCUCCUUACCUGAAAGAA
Molecule: ribosomal RNA, 1552 nt
Filed under: Salmonella enterica
Lineage: Bacteria; Pseudomonadati; Pseudomonadota; Gammaproteobacteria; Enterobacterales; Enterobacteriaceae
Also listed under: 1 other name
Description: bacterial SSU rRNA
Rfam family: Bacterial small subunit ribosomal RNA
Source: RNAcentral